This 95-nucleotide transfer RNA is filed under the name Nostoc sp. PCC 7524. Its description in RNAcentral is "tRNA-Arg (ACG) (tRNA-Arg-ACG-2-1)". It matches the Rfam family "tRNA". Rfam says of the family: Transfer RNA (tRNA) molecules are approximately 80 nucleotides in length. Lineage: Bacteria; Bacillati; Cyanobacteriota; Cyanophyceae; Nostocales; Nostocaceae. The record is from Rfam by way of RNAcentral.
GAGAACGUGGUGUAACUGGAUAACACAUCGGUCUACGAAACCGUUCGCGUAGCGUGGCGUAGCCAAAAGUGAAGGUUCAAGUCCUUCCGUUCUCG